GGUAAGAUGGCUGAGUUUUAAGUGGUGGGUUGUAGCCCCAUAUAGAGAGGUUCGAAUCCUCUUCUUAUCA
Molecule: transfer RNA, 70 nt
Filed under: Centrophryne spinulosa
Lineage: Eukaryota; Metazoa; Chordata; Actinopteri; Lophiiformes; Centrophrynidae
Description: tRNA-Tyr
Rfam family: tRNA
About the family: Transfer RNA (tRNA) molecules are approximately 80 nucleotides in length.
Source: RNAcentral